Molecule: ribosomal RNA, 310 nt
Filed under: uncultured bacterium
Lineage: Bacteria
Description: bacterial SSU rRNA
Rfam family: Bacterial small subunit ribosomal RNA
Source: RNAcentral
GAUGAACGCUGGCGGCGUGCUUAACACAUGCAAGUCGAACGAGGUCCAUGGAGCUUGCUCCGGAAGAUCUAGUGGCGAACGGGUGCAUAACACGUGAGAAACCUGCCUCAGUCUCUGGGAUAACAGUUGGAAACGACUGCUAAUACCGGAUGCCGUCACACCAUCACAUGGUGGAGUGACGAAAGAUUUAUUGGAUUGAGAGGGUCUCGCGGCCUAUCAGCUAGUUGGAGAGGUAACGGCUCACCAAGGCAUCGACGGGUAGCUGGUCUGAGAGGAUGAUCAGCCACACUGGGACUGAGACACGGCCCAG